GAUAAACGCUGGCGGCGUGCAUGAGACAUGCAAGUCGAACGGGUGACUCGGGCUUGCUCGAGUCGCUAGUGGCGGACGGCUGAGUAACGCGUAGGUGACCUGCCCCGAAGUGGGGAAUAACUGCCCGAAAGGGUGGCUAAUACCGCAUGUGGUGGUGUGUUAAGCGCACCAGUAAAGCCGCAAGGCGCUUCGGGAGGGGCCUGCGUCCGAUUAGCUCGUUGGUGGGGUAACGGCUUACCAAGGCGACGAUCGGUAGGUGGUCUGAGAGGACGAUCACCCAGACUGGGACUGAGACACGGCCCAGACUCCUACGGGAGGCAGCAGUCGGGAAUUUUGCGCAAUGGGCGAAAGCCUGACGCAGCAACGCCGCGUGAGGGAUGAAGGCCUUCGGGUUGUAAACCUCUUUUCUCAGGGAAGAUGAUGACGGUACCUGAGGAAUAAGCCACGGCUAACUACGUGCCAGCAGCCGCGGUAAUACGUAGGUGGCAAGCGUUGUCCGGAUUUACUGGGCGUAAAGAGCGCGCAGGCGGUCGUUCAAGCCGAGUGUGAAAGCCCCCGGCUCAACUGGGGAGGGUCACUCGAUACUGAUCGACUCGAAGGCGGGAGAGGGAAGUGGAAUUCCCGGUGUAGUGGUGAAAUGCGUAGAUAUCGGGAGGAACACCAGUGGCGAAGGCGACUUCCUGGCCUGUUCUUGACGCUGAGGCGCGAAGCUAGGGGAGCAAACGGGAUUAGAUACCCCGGUAGUCCUAGCCGUAAACGAUGGACACUAGGUGUUGGUGGUAUCAACCCCGCCAGUGCCGAAGCUAACGCAUUAAGUGUCCCGCCUGGGGAGUACGGCCGCAAGGCUAAAACUCAAAGGAAUUGACGG
Molecule: ribosomal RNA, 868 nt
Filed under: uncultured Armatimonadota bacterium
Lineage: Bacteria; Bacillati; Armatimonadota
Description: bacterial SSU rRNA
Rfam family: Bacterial small subunit ribosomal RNA
Source: RNAcentral